Molecule: ribosomal RNA, 750 nt
Filed under: uncultured bacterium
Lineage: Bacteria
Description: bacterial SSU rRNA
Rfam family: Bacterial small subunit ribosomal RNA
Source: RNAcentral
GUUUGAUCCUGGCUCAGAGUGAACGCUGGCGGCGUGGAUUAGGCAUGCAAGUCGAACGAUCCCGCAAGGGAUAGUGGCAAAAGGGUGAGUAACACACGAGCAAUUUACCCUUAAGUGGGGAACAACCUUGGGAAACCGAGGCUAAAACCGCAUAAGACCACGAUCGGGCAUCCGAUUGUGAUCAAAGAGGGGGACCGCAAGGCCUCUCGCUUAGGGAUGAGCUCGUGUCCUAUCAGCUUGUUGGUGAGGUAACGGCCCACCAAGGCUUUUGACGGGUAGCUGGUCUGAGAGGAUGGUCAGCCACAUUGGGACUGAGACACAGCCCAGACUCCUACGGGAGGCUGCAGUCGAGGAUCUUUUGCAAUGCCCGCAAGGGUGACAAUGCGACGCCGCGUGUGUGAUGAAGGUCUUCGGAUCGUAAAACACUGUCGGCCGGAAGGAAUCUCUGGAGGCUGAAUAAGCCUGCAGGGUGACAGUACCGGCAGAGGAAGCCACGGCUAACUCCGUGCCAGCAGCCGCGGUAAUACGGAGGUGGCAGGCGUUACUCGGAUUGAUUGGGUGUAAAGGGUGUGUAGGUGGCCGAAUAAGUCGAAUGUGAAAUCCCUUGGCUUAACCAAGGAACUGCAUUCGAAACUGCUCGGCUUGAGCGUCAGAGAGGAAAUGGAAUUCACGGUGUAACAGUGAAAUGUGUAGAUAUCGUGAGGAACACCAGUGGCGAAAGCGAUUUUCUGGCUGACUGCUGACACUGAA